Long non-coding RNA from Acanthochromis polyacanthus (spiny chromis), 9044 nucleotides. RefSeq lists it as uncharacterized. The transcript has 3 exons. Lineage: Eukaryota; Metazoa; Chordata; Actinopteri; Pomacentridae. The record is from RefSeq and is a predicted model, not a curated record.
UCUUUCUCUUCCCGUUCUUUUUGGUCUCUGCUCGUUGUCUUCUGCGUCCUCCCUCCUUCGCCUCCUUCGCCUCCUUCGUCUCUGGCUUACAUAAGCUACGUUGUGAGCGGUGACAGCGCAGACCUGAGAACUCAUCACAGGCCUCACUCAACAGGAACACCCCCUUCUGUCUGUCUCCUUGUUUCACGGGAGCCAUGGCAGCUGUACACUUGACCGCAGGCGAAAAGAGGAUAAUAGCGAGAGAGAUCAAAGCAGAAAAAGAUAACAGACGCAUGCACUUUCUCUCUCUCUCUCCGUCGUCUUUCCGCAUCUCUCUCCCACAUACACUCCUUCUCUCUGACUCUUUCUCGACAUACGGGAGGUACAUUUUACUUUCAAAGUGGGACCAGAAGUUCAAAGCAGUAAACUUGGGGUUUUUUUCUUUUAAUGUUUUUGAUUUUAUUCAAUGUAGUGAUUUAUUAGACUGCCAGACAUUGUCCCCCAUGAUGAAAGGAGAUGCAGGGUUGCCAGAGGUUGGAGGCAAAAGAGGGAUAAGGACAUGACAGGGAUCAGACUCUGAACUCCUCUGUGGAUUUAACAGUCUGACUCUGAAGAAAAACGAAGGAGAAGGAUUGGCUCUAAACUCAUUAAAAAUGAAAUCCAGUGUUGGGUUUCAUGACUGUUGGUAUCGCAACUACAAAGAAGAUUUUGUUUCAGGUUUUUGCAGAAAUUCAAUUUGAGCAGCAUUAACACAGCAACAUUGCAGACUGUCGCAGUUCCUGCCUAUAGCCUCCCUUCCUUUCUUCUUCUUCUUUCCCCUCUUCUUUUCUGCUCUCUCUACCUCCUUUUCUCCUUGCUUCUCUCUUUCUCUUUUCCUCUCUCCACCUCCUCUCCCUCACUUCUACCUGUCUCUCUCCUCCCCUGCCUCGGUCCAGUGCUGCACACCUGACUGCAGAGCCAAUCAGAGCUAAUUGGAGACAGCUGCAGGAGGAGCACAGCUGCACGGCAUUAUUCUGCACUGGAUGAAGCCCAGCUCACUCCUGGCCAGUUACUUCCGUUUUAUUCUGCAAUAAUCCGCAUCCUUGUGUGGACUCUUGUAAUUUUACUUCCUCUUUGUGUCUGUUCCCUUCUCUGUGAUUGGCCUCAUUAGUUUCACCUCUGUCUUGUCUCCCCAGUUAGCUCUCUGCGUUGUCUUUUGUCAGUUUGUCCAGUUCACUACUGUUCGCUCUCUUCGUGGUGUCUGGCCUCAUUCUUCUCCUUGCUCCUCUCAUUUGCGUCCUUUCGAUUUUUUGGGAAUUUUUGGAUGUAGCUUUCUUGGAUCAUCUUCUUUUUUUGGUGGUGUUUUCCUUGGAUUACCAGUCUCCAUAGCUCCACUCGCAACCCAAUCGGACAUCCUGGGAGGAGGAAGGCGACACAAGGACAGCAAGUGGGGCAGCAGAAAAGAGAGCACAGCAACAAACCCAACGAUGCAACCAGCGACAUUAAGAACUAUGUUACUGCAAGAAGAGCAAGGAUUCCUGCAACAGAUGGUCUGGCCCACACAGAGACUGAUCUCAGCAACAUGGAGUCCGUCUGGGAUUGUAAGAAGGAACAGAAAACACUGAGACAGUAGGUCAGGUACAGUUCAGUGCUUUAAAACUGAAUGUACCAUAAAAUUACCCAAGAUCUUUUUAAAGACUUUAUUUAUAUUCUUCCAACUAAUACCAGUUUCCCCUCAUUUAACAUGAUAUUCCUCUAAAUUGUGUCCCUACUCAAGGUGAGGUGUGAAAUGGAGGUGUUGAAGUCACAGUAGGUGAAUAGAAAGGUGUUCACUAUGUUUGUUUUUUUAGCUAUGACAUGUUUUUGCCACACUUUAGCCAAGUGUCUUUGCGCCUUUGUUGUAGGUCUUUUUAAAUUACAACUCAAAACCUUCCUGUUUAACCCUUUAAGCUGCAGUCAAUUCCAGCCAUUUUCUGUACAAAAAAAUCGCUAAUAUUCUAUUUGUAAAUAAAAUAUGACGAAAAAUACAGGGAAUAUUGGACACGCAUCGUGAGGUGCAUUUCCUCGAAAACGGCCUAUUCGUGGAUUAUAUACCGACUUCAAGACAUGUUUUGGACAAAAUAGUUUACUGCCUUGUGUCGUCUGGAUGUCCAAGGUUGGAUUAUGGCCAUUUUUUGUGGAAUAUUUUCAUCUGUGUGUAAUAAUGAACCCGGAAAUGUGAGUCGCGCUGUGUACGUUGAAGCCGUGUACGUUGAAGCCGUGUACAGAGAACGGAUGGAUGGAUAUUCAUUGUUUGUCAGACAAAUGUGUUUAUAUUACCCGCUGUGGUAAUCACAUCUGAAAGUGGUUUAUACUGGCGGAUUCAUGAGAAUCUAAGCUUUCCAUCGGCGUAUAGUGUUUGUACAAUCGCGUUUGCAGUUUCACACAUUUAGCAAUUGCUUAUGCAGAUCUCAGAGUGUACCGCGGGCGGGACACUGAAGCGCAACGGGAUAAGAUGGCUUCUCAUACCUAGUGGCAUGGUGACAUUUUACUAUUUUUAUUCCUUUGGCUGUAUAUUUCAGGGCUGUUUUGUUGCUGUACGUUUUGUUCAUUUUAGAGGCUGCAUAAUGGCGUGGCCGUUAGCAUUUUGGCCUUGCAGCUAUAAGGGCCCUGGUUUGUGUCCCGGCCUUCCUGGGAUCUUUCUGCAUGGAGUUUGCAUGUUCCUCCUGUGCAUAUGUGGAUUUCCCUCCUACAGUCCAACAUAUGCUGAGGUUAACUGAUUAUUCUAAAUUUGCCCAUAGGUGUAAGUGUGAUUGUUUGUUUUAAAUUAUUUUCUUGUUUUUCCUCUGUGAAACACUUUGGUCACCCUUUUGGGCUGUUGUAAAAGGCUCUAGAAAGAAACUUUGAUUGCCUGGAACUAAACCUACCUUAGUAUUUACCACAUUAUUUCACCCCCAUCCAUCCACUUUUAAGAUGAUGUUGGCGGCAGGCUUGGCAGGUCGUACCAGAUGUCCUUCUCCCCAGUAACAUUUUACAGCUCCUCCUGGGGGAUCUUAAAAUGCUACCAGGUCAGAUGAGAUAUGUAAUAGCAGUGAGUUCUAGGUCUCUACUAGGGUCUCCUCCAUGUUGGACAUGCCUGGAAAACCGCCAAAGGAAGGUGUCCAGGUGGUAUCCUAGUCAAAUGUAUGAACCAUCACAGCUGGCUCCUUCCUACAUGAAGGAGCAGCGACUCUACUCUGAGCUCCCUCCAUAUAUCAGAACUCGUCAUGCUAUCUCCAAGACUAAACCCACCCAUACCAGAGAGGAAAUGUAUUUCAGCCACUUGUAUUCAUCAUCUCAUUCAUCCAGUCACUGCUCAGAGCUCAUAACAAUAGAUAAAGAUUGGAACAUAGACGUACCAGUAAGUGAAGAACUUUACCUUCUGGGUCUUCAUCAUGACUGUUUGGUACAACAUCUGCAUUACAUCUGAUGCUGCCUAUUCCAUCCGUCUGUCUCCCACUCUGUUUUCCCGUCACUUGAGAACAAGAUUAAACUGCUUUGCUGGGGUCAGCAACUAACCCCAAGCCCAGUGGGAGCCAUCCAUCGGUUUAGAGAAGCAUAGACUUAAAUUUGGGGGUGCUGAGUCUCAUCCCAGCUGCUUUGCACUCAGCUGCAACCUGUUUCAGUGUUUGCUGAACAUCACAAACUGAAAACUAAUAGUCACAUCAUCUGUAAAAAGCAAAAAUGUGACUUAUAUUCCCAAACUUUACACCCUCCUUACCUUGGACCCUGAACCUUAAUAUCCUGUCCCUGAAUAUAACAAACAUGACUGGUGGUAUACAACAACCACUGUAUUUGACUUAAUGCUGGCAACAUUCGCUGGUAUACAAUAUUUCUAAAACAUAAAAAAUUCCAGACUUUUAAAAAAAACAUGCUGGCAUGAAGUAUAUUCCAGGGUUUUGUUAAAUUGUCCAACACUGGGAGCCUUAUCUGACAAGUGAUUGGUUUCAAUCUCAAGCGGGCUGGUCUGACCUAAUAAGAACCUGCCAGAAAACAGACAUCAAAAAAGUGAGAAUAAGAGUGGAGGAAGGAAAAAGGAGUGGGCAGAUUGUGCAACUUUUUGUUGAACCUCUACAUACUAUAGAAAUUCACUCCUUAAAUUAUUAAGUUGUUUCCAUAUUUGGCUCCCAUCUGCCAUGUGUAAACACAGCCUGCAUUUCUGCCAAAAGUAAAGCAAAAGCAUUUUGUUUCGUGACUGUAGGCCCAUUUUCACUGAAUAUCACAAUUUAAAGUUUAGAUUUGGUUAAAUUUCCCAAUAGGGCAGUAUGUUGCAGAUGUGUAGUUUAAGGCUUGUUAGAAAGUCUCUAAUAAAUGGUGUCAUUUUGGCAUGUCUUUAGAGCAAACUCGCCUUUCAAACCCACCAGCAGGUUUUGGGGUUCAGAGGGUUAAGGCAAGGGAAAGCUUGUAGUAACAAGCUGUAAUUGCAGGUCUGGGACUUUAGGAGAACUACAGCCUCAAGCAAACGGCCUACACAUCCUUUCACAAGCUCAACCUUCUCACCUUUACUUUUUGCCUUGCUUUAUAUGCAGUCGACCACUGCUGCACUGAGCGUUGGCAUUGCACAUGAAUCAUUAAGUAGGUGCAGAAUAUGGAAGAAUUCCUUCAAUAUGGACAUAAUUCCAUGUUAAAGGUUUGGGUCUCAAUAAAUUGAUCACCUGAGCUACACUUGUCUUCAUGUUAUAAUGUCCAUGUUUAGUUGUACUGGAUAAAUAAUUCCCAGAAGUAAAUUUGCAUAUAAGUUACAGAAUACAUAAAUAGAUGAUAUAAAGUACAGUCAGAAUUUUUGUUCCGCUAAUGGGAGUUAAUUACUUAAUAUUUGGACUGAACUGAAUGGACUAAGGGUGCGGUUGUGCAUUGUUGCCUUGCUGGAAGAAAAUUCUGGAUUUAAACCUAUUAGUUGGUUGUUGCAUUUCUGUGCGUAGUUUGCAUGUUCUCCCUUCACCUUGCAUGGGUUUCAUCCAGGUGCUCUAGCUUCCUCCUACAGUCCAAAGAAAUGUAUGUUUGUUAAGUUAAAUGGUGAUUUUAAAGUAGCUGUUUGUGUGAAUGUAAGAGUGCACGGUUGUCUGUUUCUGUGUGUUCGCCCUGUGACGGACUGGUGAUCUGACCAAUGUGUUCCCCGCCUCUUGUCCAAUGUCAGCUGGGAUAAUUGGGCUAAAGGAAACCCAGCAACCAGAGCAUAGACUGUAUAUAAAGAUAUAUGGUGUGUCUUUAUAUACAGUCUAUGAACCAGAGCUGUGUGGUAGUAAGUGCAGAAUUUUGUCACUGAGGUGUGAAUUUAUUUACUUGUUGAAGGGUUGACAAAAAAAUGUGUGCAGUACGCUCAACCCUGCGUUUCUGGAUGAAGACUUUAAAGACAGAACCCUGGGUGGAUGGUGUGGUAUUGAGGUGUGAUAAGGGUGUUGAAGAAAUAAUUGCAAUUCUCCUGUCAUGGAGGCUUGGGCUUGACUCCAGGUUACUUUCUGCCUGCGAGGACUGUAGAGCAGGUGGAUGGAGGGAGAUAUAGACACAGAAAUUAAUUAAAAUUCUCCCUCUCCUCCUUUUCCCAUUUUAUGCAUACAUAACUACUCACUGCUCAUGACCACAGGGGUUGAGAGCCACAAAACUGGGAGGAGGGCAGAGAAUGAAAGGUUAGAGUGGGGAGAGGGAGAGAUUUAUACUGAGGGAGGUGGAGAGGUAGAGGAGUGAUGAAGGUGAAAGAUUAAUAACCGCCUAGUCCUUUGCUAACAGGCUACUAUGUACUUAUAAAAGUGUGCGUCUGUGUGUGUGUAAUAGCUACUAUGGGAUUCAUGUGAGCAAUGUCACUGCGUUCCCCUUAAAAUUCUUGAUUUUACACAUUAUAUACCUUCUCCAAACAGGGUUCCUGUUACGUGAAAUUCAUUCUUUCCUCCUAGCUGAACACAUCCUUAAAUACGCAUGCUUGAUUAUAUUUUAAUUUAUAAUUUCUUAGCAACAUAGCUGUACCUUUUCUUGCACACCUGGAAAAAAAAAUGAGCAUGUGUGAGCAUGCAGCACAGAAAUGCCAUAUUUAAGAGAGAGUUGGUGUUUUUAGAGCAGACGUGGAUAGCGUGUGUGUGUUUGAGAGUGCUUUCAUUGGGUUUUAAUCAGGGCGUCACGCUCUCGGUUCCGAUUAGGUACAGCAGGCAGGGCUCUCCAGCCUGCUGCUUCUGAACAACAACACCCUCUAAAAAGCAGAUAAUGCCUCGACACUCACAGGCUCAAAGAAAAUGAACAACUCUCCCUCAUUCUCCCUUCCUCUCUUUCUCCUUCGCAUCUGCGGCCAAAAUCAGAUCGAUGCCGAGAGAAAAUGAAACUCCAAAACAACAGGAAGGUGAGAGCAGCCUCAGGUAUGAGAUGUGUCUUGUCACGUGAGGAAAAAAACAGAAAACAGGAGAAUGUAAUAUGAGGUGCAACCAAUAUGAUUCAGUGUUGUCCUCUGGCCCUCCAAAUGUCACAAACCAUUUUCAAAGAUCAUCAGAUGCAAUGCACAAGUGCACAAACACUCAGAUACACACAAACUGCAGAAUAUGUAACAAACUGCGAGAGAUUCACGGCCAUAGUAAUUGUCUUUUUGUGUUUGCGCAUCUGCAGUGACAAUAUGUGAUCCUCACACUUCAUUCCACAUGUCAAAAGACAUUAUUCUUGUUGCUUCACAUUAAUUGACUCAUUUUUCUUUCAUUUCAUGUCUAGCCAGUGUGUAAGAGGAUUCAUCUCCAGGCUCUGUCCCUGUCUAUUGGAGACAUUACGAGAAACAGAAGUAGGAAAGUAAUGAAGAUGAAUAUGUGCAUAAAUUAUUCGGCCAUAUGUGCAUCUUUUUACGAAUAGGAAAAAUAAAGUUUAAAGGUUGGAGGGAAAAAAGUUAGGAUUCUUUAUGCUGUGUGUGAGCAGCUUUUUAUCCAGUGACUUUCAUAUCAUGAUACAAACGACUGCUUUUAUAGCAGAGGAGAGAGUGCAACUGUUCAACAAUCGCUUUUAUUGUGUUCCCAAUAUGAUGAUAUUCAUAAAUAUAAUUCAGCACCUGACACAAUAGCUGCAACGUGCACCUGGACACCCACACAGUAUCACAAAGCACAAUCAGAUCUAUUGUUAACAGAGUACAAAUCACAAGCGAGAAAUGACACGAGACUGUAAUGACACGAGAACUGCACUGAUAGACUUCUUUUGUCACCAUAUUUUUGUUAAUUCAUGACACUACUGUUUUCUUUCACCUAUAUGCAUUGAUUUUUUUGAUACAAAAAACAUGCUUAUAAUGGCUACCUUUAUCACUAAUCCUGUGUGAUAACCUCUCCAUUUUACAACCACCAUGCAGAAUUGUUUGAAUUUAUUUUCAUUACCAAGCCUUCAGUCAUGCCUGCAGCUCCGUGAGGCAGCACUUGGGCACAGCAGUGCUUUGAGCUUAAUAGUGGUUUAAAAGUGCAGAGCAGCAGAUUAAAAACAGCUGUGAAGUGAGUCCUGUUGUCUGACAAAAGAAACAGAAAAAUAUGCAUUGAAUAUGUGAAUUCAACUGUAUUAAAAUGCCGGCUAUGUGAGCACAACAAGUGACAGGAAGAUGAAUAACUUGACAGGUCAUUGUUUAUUACUUACAAGUUGCUAUGAAGCGUCUGCCAUCUUUGGAGGUCCAGGUCCCACAGAGCUCUGACUGUGGGCGUAUCAUUAAAGCUAAUGGUAAUGUUAGCCAUAUUAGCUGCAUAACAUGCUAACACUAGGAAUUUCCAUACUGGUGUGGUGACAUUAUCAAGAAAUUAAAACAACCCUCGGGAUCUUUAGUUCCUCAGAUACUGGCAGUGCACGAAGACUCCUGUGUUCACUGAACUAUGAGGCAGCUCCUCAUUCACUUAGAGGCAGCAGGCACUGAGGAGCCAAAGUUUGAGGUUCAAGAGUUUAGGGUUCUGAGUUGGAACGUAGCAGCUCAAUAAAAUCCAUCUGACCUGUUUACUCGGAGGAUUUUCUAGUUGUGAGGGGGCUUGAGGAAUGGCAGAUAAUAACGUCUUAAUUCUAAUAAUAGCCUUUAUACCUCCAAGUUUAUAACAACCAUGACACAUAAUUAAAGUGGAUUUUCACAAUAUGGAACCUUAAACAGCUGGGGCAAACUUCAUCAUAAUCCGUCCAAUAGUCGUUGAGACAUAUGAACCUCAGAGUGUUGCUAUAGAGGAUAAGUCAGUGAAUCAACAAAAGCUGUGGAAUUUAACCUCUGGUGAUCUUAAAUGUUGAUACCACAUUUCCUGACAGUUCAUCCAAUAACUGUUGAGAUUUUUUUUUAGUUUGGAGCAAUAAGGUCGACUGACAGACAAGCCGUUCAGAGUCACGGUGCUAUCAUAAUAUGUGUGUGCAUGUGAGUGUGAAUGAAUGUUUACAUGUUGUGACAGACAACAACCUGUUGAGGAUGCACCCCGCCUGUCACCCUGUGUGAGUCGGGAUCAUCUCCAGUCCUCUGUGACCCUGCACGGAAUAAACAAGUACAAGUUCUGCAUAUUGUAUAUGUGUGUGUGUGUGUGUGUGAAUUCAUGAUGAAUCCUGCACUCUGACAAACUACAUGACAACCAGAAACAGAUAUUAAACAUAGCCAGAACUGACACAUCUCCAGCACCAUAGCUUCUGUUGCAAUCCAAACACAACACAUUGUAAUGAAAUGCUUGGUUGGAUACCCAGAAUUUGCCCAUAUGGUCUGGAGCGACUAUGUGAUGGAAUAUUGCGUAAGUAACUGUGACAGAUGCCCUGAUUUUGGCUCUGAAUGGAAACUUUGAAUUCGCAGGGACGACGCUUUCUGCCUUCUGUUUAUUCCUGCCACAUUUUUAAUCAUAUUGUAUCAGCAGGUGAUGUGAGGCAAUCAGGAACAACCCUGCCGCUGACCAGCCGACACUCAAUUACACGCACACCAAGGCUUGUGGAGGCAGAAAGCUGGAGAACAUGAUUUAAAAGAGGAUAGAGUCGGUAUAACUCUUGCAGUGUCUUGUUCAAUUUGCACCUUCCAAAAAAAAUCCUGUGAAAAAUGGAUUCAAAAUGUUUCACUUUCCAAUCUUUGCAUAUAAUGAAUUGUAAAAAUGGAAAUAAAAGCUGACUCUAUAUUCUAA